GUGGGGAAUCUUGCGCAAUGGGCGAAAGCCUGACGCAGCCAUGCCGCGUGAAUGAUGAAGGUCUUAGGAUUGUAAAAUUCUUUCACCGGGGACGAUAAUGACGGUACCCGGAGAAGAAGCCCCGGCUAACUUCGUGCCAGCAGCCGCGGUAAUACGAAGGGGGCUAGCGUUGCUCGGAAUUACUGGGCGUAAAGGGCGCGUAGGCGGACAGUUUAGUCAGAGGUGAAAGCCCAGGGCUCAACCUUGGAAUUGCCUUUGAUACUGGCUGUCUUGAGUACGGGAGAGGUGAGUGGAACUCCGAGUGUAGAGGUGAAAUUCGUAGAUAUUCGGAAGAACACCAGUGGCGAAGGCAGCCUCCUGGGAUAACACUGACGCUCAGGCACGAAAGCGUGGGGAGCAAACAGGAUUAGAUACCCUGGUAGUCC
Molecule: ribosomal RNA, 425 nt
Filed under: uncultured bacterium
Lineage: Bacteria
Description: partial 16S ribosomal RNA
Rfam family: Bacterial small subunit ribosomal RNA
Source: RNAcentral